Molecule: ribosomal RNA, 516 nt
Filed under: uncultured bacterium
Lineage: Bacteria
Description: partial 16S ribosomal RNA
Source: RNAcentral
GGAGUUAGCCGGUGCUUCUUCUGCGAGUAACGUCACAGAUGUAAGGUAUUAACUUACACCCUUUCCUCCUCGCUGAAAGUGCUUUACAACCCGAAGGCCUUCUUCACACACGCGGCAUGGCUGCAUCAGGGUUUCCCCCAUUGUGCAAUAUUCCCCACUGCUGCCUCCCGUAGGAGUCUGGGCCGUGUCUCAGUCCCAGUGUGGCUGAUCAUCCUCUCAGACCAGCUAGGGAUCGUCGCCUAGGUGAGCCUUUACCUCACCUACUAGCUAAUCCCACCUGGGCUUAUCCAUCAGCGCAAGGCCCGAAGGUCCCCUGCUUUCCCCCGUAGGGCGUAUGCGGUAUUAGCAGUCGUUUCCAACUGUUAUCCCCCACAAAUGGGCAAAUUCACAGGCAUUAACUCACCCGUCCGCCGCUCGUCAUCUUCAAAAGCAAGCUUUUGAAAUGUUACCGCUCGACUUGCAUGUGUUAGCUCGCCGCCACGCGUUCAAUCUGAGCCGAGGAUACAAACUACUCGA